Molecule: long non-coding RNA, 4207 nt
Filed under: Malus domestica (apple)
Lineage: Eukaryota; Viridiplantae; Streptophyta; Magnoliopsida; Rosales; Rosaceae
Description: long non-coding RNA (MDOM_LNC000766)
Source: RNAcentral
GCAGUGAAACUUGUAACGCUAAGGAUGAUAGUAAGUCUUCAUGUACCUCCUCCUGCGGCCUUAUCCAUAACAUAACUUAUCCUUUUCGACUAAACGAUGAUCCGAAGAGAUGUGGCGAUAGAAGGUAUACUCUUUCCUGUGAGAACAACAAUAUUACAGUACUAGAUCUACAUUAUCAUGGUGAAUACUAUGGUAAAUACCACGUACAGGCAAUCAAUUACGAGAACCAAACAAUCCGACUUCGAGAUCCUGGCCUUGACAACAACAAUUGCUCUUCCCUGCCUCGAAAUUUUCCGCCUGUCAAUUUUGCUGGAGUUACAUAUUCUUCAGUUAUGUAUAUGAUUGGUCCAUAUGUUUCACUGUUUUCAACGUCAGUAUAUUACCUGAGGUGUAGAAACCAAGUAAAUUCUUCUCUGUACGUGGAUACUGCUCCAUGCUUGAAUAAUAGUGCCACUUCUUUGAUCCAACCAAAAUCUUAUAGUUAUGUCAUGGUUGACCGCCCAUAUAGCCCAAGCUAUAUGGAAGAUUUGAAUGAGGGUUGCAGAGUCGAGGGGAUGGCUCUCGUGCGGUUGGACUACUCUAGCGGGUCCUACACUAAUGACUCUUAUAGUUAUGAAUUUAUACACAGUGCAGUCAUGAAUGGCUUUGAGGUUCGAGUGUAUUGGCCUGAUGAACUAGAUUCACCCUGCAAUGGCCUCACUUCCACUGGCAAUUGUUAUCCACGCACCAUCCCAGGUGCGUAAUUCUCAAAUGAAGUACUAACUUAUAAUUACUAUGUUCUCGAAUAAGCUUAUUUGAUGGAUCGUUUGUAGAGUUUAUUUUACAUUGUAUUUCAAUAAUUCAUCUGUCUAUCUUUUAGUUCUUUCUUUAAAAGCCAGUCAUACUAAUGUUUUUUUUAGAAAAAUCAUAAUCUUCUAUUUUCUUUACUACAAUUUAAUGUGUUUAUGGUUUUGGAUUUUUCUAAUUUUUUUUAUCUAUGAAUGAUGUACUAAAAUAUAAAUAGUUUAGAUCGUUGUAACAAAUACUAGUGUUUUUUUGAAAAAUCGUAUUCUUCUAUUUUCUUUACUACAAUUGACUGUGUUUAUGGAUUUGGAUUUUUCUAAUUUUUUUUAUCUAUGAAUGAUGUACUAAAAUAUAAACAGUAUAGAUCCUUGUAACAACAUGAGCAGCACCAGUUGUUCCUCAACGGAAGAGGAAUAUAUAUAUAUAUAUAUAUAUAUAUAUAUAUAUAUAUAUUUCUGUGCGAAACCUCCCGCUAAGCCAUUCAUUUUGCUUGAAAAAUAUACUGAAAAUAUAACUUUAGUCCAUAAAAUUUAAUUUUCUCCACAUAAAACCCAAUAUAAGUUUUUUACUCGAAUAAAACUCAUUGACUAGAUUCCAGCAAAUUCAUUAAUUAUAUCUGACUUUACACAUUUAAAAAAUUUUGAUGCCCAAAACACCCCUAUUUGAAUGUUUGAUUUACACAAUUAAUUCCAUACAAAUUGUAAGGGAUAAUUAAUGAUUUUACAAAAAUAAAAAUAAAUAAAUUCAUUGCCUAAUAUAUAAUACCAAUAAAACAUGCCUAAUAAAUGUAGUAAUACAUGCUCAGUUAAGUCAAUAAAAUUAUAUUUUAUAUAUAAAUGUAGGUAAAUUAUUUUACACACACAUAUAUAUAACAACAAAAAAAAAAAUAUGCCUGAUAUACAUAAAAAUUCAAGCAAAAUAAUUUACCUACAUAAUAAAGCAUACCCAAUAUAUGCAAAAUAAUGUACCUACAUAACAAAAUAUUAUUAUUUUAUUCAAUACUAGUUUACCUAUUAUUUGUGCAUAUAAUAAUAAAAUGUGCCUACAUACAAAAUAAAAUACCUACAUAAUGAAGAAAUGUUAUUUGAUUCAAAAUUAAUUUAGUUACAAAAUAAAGCAAUUGUAUUCUAUUCAAGAUUAAUUUACCUAUUAUUCGUACAUAUAUCUUAUAAUAAUAAAAUGUGCCAAAUAUAUGUAAUAAUACAUGGAAAAUAAAUUACCUACAAAGUAAAAGAAUGUUAUUUGAUUCAAUAUUAAUUUACCUACAAAAUGUAUGUUAUUUGCUCAUCAUAAAUUUAAAUAUAGGUAGAUUAAUUAGUUUAAUAUGUUUGAUCAUAUAUGUAGCACUGUGCAUGUAUAUAUAUAUGUGAACGUAUAGUAGUACUAUAUAUAGGUAAACUAUAUAUGUGUGUACACACACACAGAGAUAUAUAUAUAUAUAUAUAUAUAUAUAUAUAUUGAGCUUAUGGUGGUAAUAUAUACAUUUGAACAUAUAUAUGUGUGUUUUAGGGGUAAUAAUAUGUGCAAUAAUUAUAUUUUCAUUGUAAUUAAGGUGAGUAAUAACAUUUAAUGAUUUUAUUUUAAAUAUUGUGGUACAAGUUGUAAAUAUUUGGUAAUAAUAGGUCAAUUACUUCUAUACUUGACAGUUAUUUUUAAAUUUGGAUUUUAUUUAGUUAUUUAUAACUAGGUGGGUUUUUGUCUAGGAAAUAAGAGUUGCAAGGAUCUAUAUCUAAAGAACCCAAAAAUAUAUCAACAAUAUUCACAUCAUGUCAACAGUAUAUAGAUACAUAUAAACAUUAUUAUGGAUAUCAUAUCGUAACAAUAAUAUCUUAAUAAUACAAUAUUUAUGAGGUUAUCUGAACUUUAUAAAGAGAUAAACAUUUCAUCCUAUUAAGACUCUUUAUAUUGUGGUUGUUGUCUAUAUUUCUAUUACAGCUAAACACUUAUAAUUGUUUUUCUUAUAAUUAUUUUUCUUAGGGUAAAUUAUACUUUGCCAUCUUUUGAGAUCGAUUUCAAUUCCUUACAACAUCUUUAAAACAUUUCACUUUCAUAUCUCAAAUACUAUUUUUUUUCAAUAUAGUACAUCUAUUACAUUUUUCAUUCAUUUAUCCGUUAAGAAUUGACGUGACUGCUACAGUUAUGUCACGUGGCUGCCAAAUUUGUGAUAACAAAUUUAUAUUUUUAUUCAUUUAAAAAUAAUUAAUUAAAAAAGAUAUCAAUUAAAAAAAAAAAAAAAACAACCCAGAAGCCAUCUUCUUCCCCGCCCCCCUUCCCUGCAACCCAAACCCCCCAUCACCCCACCCCACCCAAAACCCCCAAAAUCAAAAGGGGGAAUUGAAUUCUCAAGACGAAAAAAAAAAAGCACUUCACACAGAUCCAAUCAGAGCAAAACCCAGAUUUGAUCACACACAGAAACCCUCAAAUUAAAACCCAGAUGCAAAAUCCCCAAAUUUAACUGAAAAUCGCAGCUUAGACGGAGCUAGAAGAUUACCUUACCAUCGACGAUGAGGCAGCAGUCCAUGCGAUCAUUGUGAGUGGAGACCUCAGUCAAAGCAAAGGGAAUUCUAGAGAGAGAAAGAAGAGAGAGAGAGAGAAGAGAAAUGGACUGAGAGAGGGAGAAGAGAAGUGGACUGAGAAGGAGAAAGCAGCUACAAGACCCGAUCCGUCUUCUUCUUCUUGUCUCCGUGGGGGCACCUCUGUGUGUCUUCUGCAACUCUCGUUUCCUGGGUUUUUUAGGGUUUUCGGUUGGGGGGGUUGCGGGGGAGGUGGGGUGGGGUGGAAUGGGGGGUUUGGGUUGCAGGGAGGGGGUCGGGGAAGAAGAUGGGUUCUUGUUUUUUUGUUUUUUUUUAUUUAUUUAUUUUUUAUUUAAAUUAAUAAUUUUUAAAUUAUUUAUUUUUAAAUGAAUAAAAAAAAUUUGCCACGUGGCAUAAAUAUGGCAACCAUAUCAGCUUUUAACGGAUCAAUAGAUGAAAAAUAUAACGGAUGUACUAUAUUGAAAUAAAAUAGUACUUGAUGUAUAAAAGUGAAAUAUUUUAAAGAUAUUGUAAGGAAUUGAAAUCGAUACCAAACUUAAGAUGGUAAAGUGUAAUUUACCAUUUUUCUUAUAUAAUGGCCAUUUCCGAAUACUAUAUCCCAAUUUUGCGGUCAAUUAUAUGACAAAUGAAUUAUGUUGCUUUAUUUCUUAUAUAUGCUAAUGCUGUACAGGUACAAAUGGCAACAACUUGAAUUUUAUUUGCCAACGGUUGUUAUGCUAAUGUUGUUUUAUUCUUUUACUGUAGGUUUCUUUCAACAUGCAUGGGCUAAAAUCCGUGAGUGGCCCCUCUCCAUCCGUAAGUGGUCCCUCUCCAAAACAAAAAUAAAGAAAAUAAAUCUCUCCUUUUUGUUUCUCUUUAAAAUUCAAUAUUUACAACUUUAGAGUAGACCU